Molecule: ribosomal RNA, 174 nt
Filed under: uncultured bacterium
Lineage: Bacteria
Description: partial 16S ribosomal RNA
Rfam family: Bacterial small subunit ribosomal RNA
Source: RNAcentral
CCUACGGGAGGCAGCAGUGGGGAAUAUUGCACAAUGGGCGAAAGCCUGAUGCAGCGACGCCGCGUGAGGGAUGAAGGCCUUCGGGUUGUAAACCUCUUUCAGCAGGGAAGAAGCGAAAGUGACGGUACCUGCAGAAGAAGCGCCGGCUAACUACGUGCCAGCAGCCGCGGUAAU